ACCCGAGUCCGGAGAAGGUUCUGGUUGGAGAAGUCGGAGCUAGAUCGAAGACCAUGGCUAGGGUGGCGGCGGUGGCCAUGUGCGCGCUGUUAGCACUGGUGGUGGUCGGCCCGCCGUCGGUGGCAGCACAGGACUGCGAUGCGGGGAAGCUGAUCGUGUGCGCGGCGGCGAUCAUCGGCGGGGCGGAGCCGUCCGACUCGUGCUGCUCGAACCUGAAGGCGCAGCAAGGCUGCCUCUGCAAGUACGCGAGCAACCCGGCGUACUCCGGCUACAUCAACAGCCCCACCGCCCGCAAGACCCUCGCCUCCUGCGGCAUCCCCAUCCCGACCUGCCCGCAGUAGAAACAUGGUGUAUGCAUGCACGCACAAAAAGUGUGCUAGAUGUGGUGUGUGUUGAUCUAGUGAUUAACUGUCCGGCUUUGAUAUAUUUCAAUAACAGAGGAGUACGAGAGCAGUAGAUGUGCUCGACGUUUGUUUUCUGCUAACUUGUCUUCGCUGAUAAUAAGGAU
This 508-nucleotide long non-coding RNA is filed under the name Triticum aestivum (bread wheat). RNAcentral describes it as "long non-coding RNA (TAES_LNC005049)". Lineage: Eukaryota; Viridiplantae; Streptophyta; Magnoliopsida; Poales; Poaceae. The record is from RNAcentral.